UACGUAGGGUGCAAGCGUUAAUCGGAAUUACUGGGCGUAAAGCGUGCGCAGGCGGCUAUGCAAGACAGAUGUGAAAUCCCCGGGCUCAACCUGGGAACUGCAUUUGUGACUGCAUGGCUAGAGUACGGUAGAGGAUGGAAUUCCGCGUGUAGCAGGUGAAAUGCGUAGAUAUGCGGAGGAACACCGAUGGCGGAAGGCAAUCCCUGGACCUGUACUGACGCUCAUGCACGAAAGCGUGGGGAGCAACAGG
Molecule: ribosomal RNA, 250 nt
Filed under: uncultured bacterium
Lineage: Bacteria
Description: partial 16S ribosomal RNA
Rfam family: Bacterial small subunit ribosomal RNA
Source: RNAcentral